GCAAGUCGAGCGGAAACGGUGGGAGCUUGCUCCCAGGCCUCGAGCGGCGGACGGGUGAGUAACGCGUAGGAAUCUACCCAGUAGUGGGGGAUAGCCCGGGGAAACUCGGAUUAAUACCGCAUACGCCCUACGGGGGAAAGGCCGGGAUCGUCGGACCGGGCGCUAUUGGAGGAGCCUGCGUUGGAUUAGCUAGUUGGUAGGGUAAAGGCCUACCAAGGCGACGAUCCAUAGCUGGUCUGAGAGGAUGAGC
RNAcentral lists this ribosomal RNA (250 nucleotides) under uncultured bacterium. Its description in RNAcentral is "partial 16S ribosomal RNA". It matches the Rfam family "Bacterial small subunit ribosomal RNA", at positions 57 to 305 of the family's 1533-position model. The record is from RNAcentral.